Molecule: ribosomal RNA, 279 nt
Filed under: uncultured bacterium
Lineage: Bacteria
Description: partial 16S ribosomal RNA
Rfam family: Bacterial small subunit ribosomal RNA
Source: RNAcentral
UGCCAGCCGCCGCGGUAAUACGUAGGGGGCAAGCGUUGUCCGGAUUUACUGGGUGUAAAGGGCGCGCAGGCGGAUUUGUCAGUCAGGGGUGAAAUCCUACAGCUUAACUGUAGAACUGCCUUUGAUACUGCAAAUCUUGAGUACUGGAGAGGAAAGCGGAAUUCCGAGUGUAGGGGUGUAAUCCGUAGAUAUUCGGAGGAACACCAGUGGCGAAGGCGGCUUUCUGGACCGAUACUGACGCUGAGACGCGAAAGCGUGGGGAGCAAACAGGAUUAGAUA